AGUGAACGCUGGCGGUAGGCCUAAUACAUGCAAGUCGAACGGCAGCACAGUAAGAUUUUGCCUCUACGGGUGGCGAGUGGCGGACGGGUGAGGAAUACAUCGGAAUCCUCUUUUUCGUGGGGGACAACGUAGGGAAACUUAUGCUAAUACCGCAUAUGUCCUACGGGUGAAAGCAGUGGAUCUUCGGACCUUGCGCGACUGAAUGAGCCGAUGUCGGAUUAGCUAGUUGGCGGGGUAAAGGCCCACCAAGGCGACGAUCCGUAGCUGAUCUGAGAGGAUGAUCAGCCACACUGGAACUGAGACACGGUCCAGACUCCUACGGGAGGCAGCAGUAGGGAAUAUUGGGCAAUGGGCGCAAGCCUGAUCCAGCAAUGCCGCGUGAGUGAAGAAGGCCUUCGGAUUGUAAAGCCCUUUUAUUGGGGAAGAAAAACAGCGGAUUAAUACCCCGCUGUUCUGACGGUACCCAAAGAAUAAGCACCGGCUAACUUCGUG
Molecule: ribosomal RNA, 492 nt
Filed under: uncultured bacterium
Lineage: Bacteria
Description: partial 16S ribosomal RNA
Rfam family: Bacterial small subunit ribosomal RNA
Source: RNAcentral